RNAcentral lists this ribosomal RNA (274 nucleotides) under Enterococcus faecalis. RNAcentral's name for it is "partial 16S ribosomal RNA". It matches the Rfam family "Bacterial small subunit ribosomal RNA", at positions 1269 to 1533 of the family's 1533-position model. Lineage: Bacteria; Bacillati; Bacillota; Bacilli; Lactobacillales; Enterococcaceae. The record is from RNAcentral.
AAAUCUCUUAAAGCUUCUCUCAGUUCGGAUUGCAGGCUGCAACUCGCCUGCAUGAAGCCGGAAUCGCUAGUAAUCGCGGAUCAGCACGCCGCGGUGAAUACGUUCCCGGGCCUUGUACACACCGCCCGUCACACCACGAGAGUUUGUAACACCCGAAGUCGGUGAGGUAACCUUUUUGGAGCCAGCCGCCUAAGGUGGGAUAGAUGAUUGGGGUGAAGUCGUAACAAGGUAGCCGUAUCGGAAGGUGCGGCUGGAUCACCUCCUUUCUAAGGAA